GACGAACGCUGGCGGCGUGCUUAACACAUGCAAGUCGAGCGGUAAGGCCCUUUCAGGGGUACACGAGCGGCGAACGGGUGAGUAACACGUGGGUGACCUGCCCUCAGCUCUGGGAUAAGCCUGGGAAACCGGGUCUAAUACUGGAUAUGACUCCAUGACGCAUGUUGUGGGGUGGGAAGCCUUGUGCGGCUGAGGAUGGGCCCGCGGCCUAUCAGCUUGUUGGUGGGGUGAUGGCCUACCAAGGCGACGACGGGUAGCCGGCCUGAGAGGGCGACCGGCCACACUGGGACUGAGACACGGCCCAGACUCCUACGGGAGGCAGCAGUGGGGAAUCUUGCGCAAUGGGCGAAAGCCUGACGCAGCGACGCCGCGUGAGGGAUGACGGCCU
Molecule: ribosomal RNA, 388 nt
Filed under: uncultured bacterium
Lineage: Bacteria
Description: bacterial SSU rRNA
Rfam family: Bacterial small subunit ribosomal RNA
Source: RNAcentral